CCUACGGGUGGCAGCAGUGAGGAAUAUUGGUCAAUGGGCGCGAGCCUGAACCAGCCAAGCAGCGUGAAGGAUGACUGCCCUACGGGUUGUAAACUUCUUUUAUAAAGGAAUAAAGUGAGGCACGUGUGCCUUUUUGUAUGUACUUUAUGAAUAAGGAUCGGCUAACUCCGUGCCAGCAGCCGCGGUAAUACGGAGGAUCCGAUCGUUAUCCGGAUUUAUUGGGUUUAAAGGGUGCGUAGGCUGGUUGUUAAGUCCGUUGUGAAAGUUUGCGGCUCAACCGUAAAAUUGCAAUUGAUACUGGCAGCCUUGAGUACAGUUGAGGUAGGCGGAAUUCGUGGUGUAGCGGUGAAAUGCUUAGAUAUCACGAAGAACUCCGAUGGCGAAGGCAGCUUACUAAGCUGCCACUGACAUUGAUGCUCGAAAGUGUGGGUAGCAAACAGGAUUAGAUACCCGGGUAGUC
This 460-nucleotide ribosomal RNA is filed under the name uncultured bacterium. RNAcentral describes it as "partial 16S ribosomal RNA". It matches the Rfam family "Bacterial small subunit ribosomal RNA", at positions 338 to 795 of the family's 1533-position model. The record is from RNAcentral.